Molecule: ribosomal RNA, 253 nt
Filed under: uncultured bacterium
Lineage: Bacteria
Description: partial 16S ribosomal RNA
Rfam family: Bacterial small subunit ribosomal RNA
Source: RNAcentral
GACGAACCGUGCGAACGUUGUUCGGAAUCACUGGGCUUAAAGGGCGCGUAGGCGGCUUGCCAAGUCAGUGGUGAAAUCCCACAGCUUAACUGUGGAAGUGCCUUUGAUACUGGCGAGCUCGAGGGAGGUAGGGGUAUGUGGAACUUCUGGUGGAGCGGUGAAAUGCGUUGAUAUCAGAAGGAACGCCGGUGGCGAAAGCGACGUACUGGACCUCUUCUGACGCUGAGGCGCGAAAGCUAGGGGAGCAAACGGG